GACUGGAUAGCCUAGUCCAUGGUCAAAGGCAGCGCUUCCAGCACAGUGUCUCAGCUUAUGAUGAGGUCCCAGGUUCGAAUCCUGGUCUAGUCA
Molecule: transfer RNA, 93 nt
Filed under: Cronartium ribicola 11-2
Lineage: Eukaryota; Fungi; Basidiomycota; Pucciniomycetes; Pucciniales; Coleosporiaceae
Description: tRNA-Ala (AGC) (tRNA-Ala-AGC-192-1)
Rfam family: tRNA
About the family: Transfer RNA (tRNA) molecules are approximately 80 nucleotides in length. Their secondary structure includes four short double-helical elements and three loops (D, anti-codon, and T loops).
Source: RNAcentral